GGCCCGGUAGCUCAGUUGGAUAGAGCCGCAGACUUCUAAUCUGCUGGUCGUGGGUUCGAGUCCCUCCCGGGUCG
This 74-nucleotide transfer RNA is filed under the name Propionibacteriaceae bacterium. RNAcentral describes it as "tRNA-Arg". It matches the Rfam family "tRNA". From Rfam's summary of the family: Transfer RNA (tRNA) molecules are approximately 80 nucleotides in length. Their secondary structure includes four short double-helical elements and three loops (D, anti-codon, and T loops). Further hydrogen bonds mediate the characteristic L-shaped molecular structure. tRNAs have two regions of fundamental functional importance: the anti-codon, which is responsible for specific mRNA codon recognition, and the 3' end, to which the tRNAs corresponding amino acid is attached (by aminoacyl-tRNA synthetases). tRNAs cope with the degeneracy of the genetic code in two manners: having more than one tRNA (with a specific anti-codon) for a particular amino acid; and 'wobble' base-pairing, i.e. permitting non-standard base-pairing at the 3rd anti-codon position. The record is from RNAcentral. Lineage: Bacteria; Bacillati; Actinomycetota; Actinomycetes; Propionibacteriales; Propionibacteriaceae.